AUGUGUGUCACGAACAGGGAUGAUUGAUUCCUGUCACGAGUAACACACGGCAGCACUACCGAGAUGCAUGUCAGUGUUGUGUGUACUGGUGACGCGGUUGGCACGGUGCAAUAUCUACCUGAAGCCCAUUAUUUAGCAUCCGCAGGACCACUGACCUCCCUCUCGAGUAUUGCCCGUCACUGUUGCUUCUGGUGGCAUGCCGGUCCUGGAACGCUUUUAUAUACUCAUGGAUCCAAACAUGUCCCACUGCUGUACCAUUAACAAUUCCAUGCAUGAUGCAUCAAGCACGUCCUACUAAUAUAUAUACCUGUAAAGAUUUUAAUUGGAUAACCAAUAAUGCCAAACCUUAAACAAUCGGAGUUGCUGAUACAUUUAUAAAUUGUGUCAUCCCUUCUUAUGUGUCGAUCGGUUAGGCUCGACUCCUGAAAUUGAAUAUACGAUAUGGUACAAGACAAAUGGAGAAGAAUAUAUUACUAUGAUGAAAGUUUUGAUUGGCUAAUUGUUGAUCCCCAAAGGUUUAAGCUAUGAGAAGAGUUAAAAUGCAUGUAAACUGUGUCCUAAGUAGAUUUUACAUGAAUUGAGCUAUGAUCAAUCUUGGCCUACUUAAUUAUGACCGUACAAUUUACCUCAGAUAGUAUGUAUUAUUAUGAUCAGUAAUUGUGGUUUUCUAACUAAUGUUAGAUCCUCAUUCAAAGGUGGCAUGAAUUGAAUGCCUUCUUUUCUUCUUUAAUCUUAAGCAUCAUGAAGCAUGUGAGCAUCUGAGAAGAUAUGGUGGCAGCAGACCAUUUUGGAGAGUGUUGUCCCACAAGCUCAUGAACCAUGUGUUUUGAUUCCUAUACAAUCUGAGCAAGCUAUAAAUCUUAUUGCACCAAUGUGGUGGGGGAGGUGGGAAACAUUCUGGUUAGUCUUUUUUUUGGGAAGAUAUUGGUGGGUGAAUCUUCCUCCUCACUAGAUAAAUCUCACAAGUUGUCUCAUUAA
Molecule: long non-coding RNA, 978 nt
Filed under: Musa acuminata (dwarf banana)
Lineage: Eukaryota; Viridiplantae; Streptophyta; Magnoliopsida; Zingiberales; Musaceae
Description: long non-coding RNA (MACU_LNC004373)
Source: RNAcentral